GACGAACGCUGGCGGCGUGCUUAACACAUGCAAGUCGAACGGAAAGGCCUCUUUCGGGGGGUACUCGAGUGGCGCAAGGGUGAGUAACACGUGAGUAACCUGCCCUUGACUUUGGGAUAACUCCAGGAAACAGGGGCUAAUACCGGAUAGGAGAUCCUGCUGCACGGGGGGGGUUGGAGAGAUUCCGCGGUUGGGGAUGGGCUCGCGGCGUAUCAGCUUGUUGGUGGGGUAGUGGCGUACCAAGGCUUUGACGGGUAGACGGCCUGGGAGGGGGACCGGCCACAUUUGGGCUGGGGUACGGCCCCGGCCCCUACGGGGGGCCGGAGGGGGGAAUAUUGCCACAUGGGUCGGAGCCUGAUGCAGCCACGCCCGGGGCGGGAAGGCGGGCUUCGGGUUGGAAACCGGCUUCGCUCAUGGCGGAGCUGUGUGUGACGGUAGUGGGUAAAGAGGCACCGGCUAACUACGUG
RNAcentral lists this ribosomal RNA (467 nucleotides) under uncultured bacterium. RNAcentral describes it as "partial 16S ribosomal RNA". It matches the Rfam family "Bacterial small subunit ribosomal RNA", at positions 28 to 507 of the family's 1533-position model. The record is from RNAcentral.